RNAcentral lists this transfer RNA (77 nucleotides) under Clostridiales bacterium. RNAcentral describes it as "tRNA-Met". It matches the Rfam family "tRNA". Rfam says of the family: Transfer RNA (tRNA) molecules are approximately 80 nucleotides in length. Their secondary structure includes four short double-helical elements and three loops (D, anti-codon, and T loops). Further hydrogen bonds mediate the characteristic L-shaped molecular structure. tRNAs have two regions of fundamental functional importance: the anti-codon, which is responsible for specific mRNA codon recognition, and the 3' end, to which the tRNAs corresponding amino acid is attached (by aminoacyl-tRNA synthetases). tRNAs cope with the degeneracy of the genetic code in two manners: having more than one tRNA (with a specific anti-codon) for a particular amino acid; and 'wobble' base-pairing, i.e. permitting non-standard base-pairing at the 3rd anti-codon position. Lineage: Bacteria; Bacillati; Bacillota; Clostridia; Eubacteriales. The record is from RNAcentral.
GGCGGCGUAGCUCAGUUGGCCAGAGCAUUCGGUUCAUACCCGGAGUGUCGUUGGUUCGAAUCCGACCGCCGCUACCA